GAUUUCUGGUACAAUGCACCUGGCCCGCGGCCCUCAAGGCUUGUGAGUGCCGGCGCGCGUUUACCAUCCUUCUAGAAAACGAUUCUGCCAUUCACUUGGUUGGGAUCGCGAUCUAGAUCUUUUACUUUGAAAAAAUUAGAGUGUUUAAAGCAGGCUUUUGCUAUGAAUACAUUAGCAUGGAAUAAUAAUCUAGGACUUCGGUUCUGAUAGUUGGGGGUGCUAGUAUUGGCCGGCCAGAGGUGAAAUUCUUGGAUUCGGUCAAGACUAACUUAUGCGAAAGCAUU
This 284-nucleotide ribosomal RNA is filed under the name uncultured Limnofilidae. Its description in RNAcentral is "partial 18S ribosomal RNA". The stretch from base 111 to 284 matches the Rfam family "Eukaryotic small subunit ribosomal RNA", at positions 741 to 955 of the family's 1831-position model. Lineage: Eukaryota; Cercozoa; Limnofilidae. The record is from RNAcentral.